GUCCAAGCUUCCUGGCUGGCUUGGGAUCAGGGUGGAAACUUUCCACCCCGGGAGGAGGAUUCUCUGGAAAGUUCUGAGGCCGCCUGAGUGAGCAGAGGUUCACAGUGGGGCCCUGGCCCUUUAAAUCAUCUCUUCAGGGCUGUGGCUGAGGGGUCCCAGAGGCCAGACACCAACCUCUGCCUCCCAGAGCCCAGGCCCCAGAUCUAGGGUUGCCUCAUCCUCCCACUUACACACCGGCAUCUCCAGAACCAAGUGAUUCAAUGGGCCUAGCCCCCAGCCCAGCCAACUGACAAUGGGCGCACUGGGGAGGUCACCGAGCCCAACCGCCAGGGCUCCAAAGGGGAAAGUAAGGCCAAAGGAGAUUCUGAUUCGACUGGACACUGGGAUCUUGGGAAAAGAACAUGGGGCAGAGUUUGGGAGCCUGGAUCCAGAGCCAGCACUUAGAGGGUUAAAAGUCCUGAGCAAAGAUCCCUGGAGGCUAUGGGAGAUUCCAACCAUGAGAAACACCUGCUGAUGGCAGGACAUGCUCUCAUCUCUGCAGCCCUUCCUUCUGACCCCACUGUUCAGCUGAGGAAACUGAGGCUCACAGGGGUGAAAGAACUUGCUGGAAGACCCACAGCUUGUUAACUCAGUUCCAAGAGCACAGGAUCAUAGGACUGUGAGCUGGAAGGGGCUUUGGAGAUGAUUACCCAUCUCCAUUUUAUAGUGUGAAAACUGAGGCCCAUAGAAGGUACUGACUUGCCUGGAGUCACGCUGGUAGUCAGUGGCAGGCAGGCCGGUGCUUUGUUUUCAAACCCAACACUCUUUCUGCUAUGGUGUGCAGCUGCUCCCAGGAUGUCAGCAACAGGGGGGUGGGUGGGAGGUCUCUGGUGCCCUGGCACAGCCUGAUGGAGAGGGUAACAUUUCUCAAAGGGUUGGCAGCAAAGGAGUUAACAUGAUUCCAUUUGGAGAACCACAUGAGUCUUGUGACGGCAUGAUGCUGUGGCCAAUACCUGUCCUAAUUCUGGCGCCCAUCCUUCUACCCAGCUCGAG
RNAcentral lists this long non-coding RNA (1032 nucleotides) under Phascolarctos cinereus (koala). RNAcentral describes it as "lncRNA (ENSPCIG00000014710.2)". Lineage: Eukaryota; Metazoa; Chordata; Mammalia; Diprotodontia; Phascolarctidae. The record is from RNAcentral.